GCCAGGUGUGGUGGCGCAUGCCUAUAAUCCCAGCUACUUGGGAGGUUGAGGCAGGAGAAUCGCUUGAACCCGGGAGGCGGAGGUUGCAGUGAGCCGAGAUCACGCCACUGCACUCCAGCCUGGGUGACAGAGCAAGACCCUGCCUCAA
Non-coding RNA from Homo sapiens (human), 148 nucleotides. It matches the Rfam family "Metazoan signal recognition particle RNA". Rfam says of the family: The signal recognition particle (SRP) is a universally conserved ribonucleoprotein. It is involved in the co-translational targeting of proteins to membranes. Lineage: Eukaryota; Metazoa; Chordata; Mammalia; Primates; Hominidae. The record is from Rfam.